UCCGAACCUAGGUACUGUGAAAAGGAAGAUGGGGAAAGAAAAAGCCCCGAAAAUCCCAAUAAAAAAGCAUUAAUUGGAUAUUGAUUGAUUACGUGUACAGAUCGAGUGGGGGGCGUCCAAGUUAGUCUCCCCACACUAUAAAACCCCCUAUUGUUUCAGAUAUUUCUACUCCUCUCCAUAAAGCUCUUUUCUUUUUCUUCCCAUUCCAAAAUUGAUGUCCUACUCAAGCAAAUUCCCAUUCUCCGAUCUUGAAUGAUUUUUUUCUUCUCCUCUCUCUUUGAUUUCCUCCACAGAUUUCAAUCCUAAAUUCUUUACCUUUUGAUCACAAAUUUCUUCGAGUUUCUUCCGAUGAGUCCAUGAGUUUCAGCUUUAUCUUAACUCUUUAAUGCUAGUUUCUCUCCUUUUGAAUUAUCUUGCAGCUCAUUUUUAGAGGAGCAACGGAGCCAGGAGAUGCCGUUUGGUUCUCAGUUGAAACCCAAUGUUCUUGACAAAGGACUACUUGAAGCUGCACAUAUGAAGGUUUCUUUGGCAAUGUUUCUUUGAAUGAGGCGACCUUCUGUCACAGCACAAGGAUAAAAUAAGCCAGAGGUCUGCAGGGACCAUUGUCAGUGAACUGAUCAUGGGAAGAGUAUCAGUUAAAAGUUGUUGACAUAACUAGCACCAAGUCCAAAAAGAUGCAGAAUUCAAGUGCACCCAUGGACAUGAGAGUUAUGGGAUUUAUGAGAUUUGUUGCGUGAUUCAAUGACAGGUAUCAAGAAAAAAAAAGUAACUUAGUGAAGAGUUUUUUAGCAAUCAGCAAUAUGUUUUAUGGUAAAUAUUCUUGUCUUGUCUAAGUGACUUUAUCUGGGCAUGACCAGUGGCUACCCCAUUUAAAGGAGAAGAUUUAUGGUAUGUUAGAAGCCCAACAACAUAACAGAAGUAGUUAAAAUCUUAUGAACUUAAAUCAGUAUUAUUUGCUUUUUUGCACAGUAUUUAUCUACCUGAUUGGAUUUUACUGACAAGACAUGGCCACAGGUCACUAAUUGUCUACAUUGCUGGAGUCUGAUUUUACUGCAUGUUCUUUCACAUGUAUUUCUGGUUCAACCUUCUGUUGACAUUGUGAGAUGCUGUUUUUGAUUGACAAUUAUCACUAAUAAAAAUAGAAAAGUAAAGGUUCUUGUGUUGUAAAAUGAUGAUUAGGAUGCUGAUGUGUCAACAAUGCGGAAGCUAUAUCUUAAUAUAUCAAACUUUGAGAGAGGUGAAAUUGCUCAUUCUCUUUUUCUACUUACUAAUAACUGCCUUUCUAUCUUUACUAUAUUCUCUAUAUGCUGGAAUCCUGUGUGAAGCAUUAGUGUUGUUUUCUAUUUCUAGAGCUUUAAGACUAUUUAUCUUCUCGAGUGAUGUUUCUGAGACUAUAAACACUUAGAUAUGUUGGUUUUCCUCUUGUUUUCUACAAUUGAUGUCGGUGCCAUUUGCAACAUUUACCACACUGCAAUUCUGCUUUCAUUCUUUACAUCAUCAUUCUUCCCUUGCAAUCAUAUCAAAGGCAUGUAUCUGUUCAAACAAAAUGUAUGUUGCCCAUCCUUUAUAGGUCCUUUUUUUAACACAAUCCUUCAUUUAGAUUUCCAUUCUCAGACCAUUGACACCAAGGCUAGUUGGAAAAUAUCAUCAUCUAUAAUCUCCUUUUAUGCAUAAAAUAUUCCAACAUGUGGAUGCCUUAAAGAUUUGUGUAAUUUCCAGAACUUUUAGCUCAAAGUUUCAAAUGAUUGUUAGAUUCAGUGUCUCUUUGCCAUAGAGCUGCCUAAUUGAAAUUUUUUUUGGUGUAUGCUUCUCUAGUUGUUAACCACUUUGUUUAGAGAAAAGUAACAAAGUUCAACAUGCUUGUCUCUAAUACCAUUUAUGGCCUACACAUAGAGAGUGAGUACUAAAAUACCUUCACUUCAGAUAUUGGGUUUCCCAUCUGCUGAUGUUCCUCCUUUGAUUUGUUGUAUCUUUCAAUCACUGAUUUCAUGCUGUAAGAACACAUUCAAAUUUUAUUAGAGAUGAACAUUGUGCUCUCUGAGAUGUGAACACUUCAUAAAUAAAAUGUCACUAACUACCAAAUGUAUGACUUAGAAAGAAAUUGGAUAUGUUCAUUGAGUUGUGCUUAUGUCAGUUAAAGCUGUAACUAUGGACAUCAAAUAAGAUUUUCAGUUCUUUGGGUUGAAAUUGACUGGAGCACAAACUAAAGAUGCAUUGUCUAUAUAUAUUAUAUAUUAUUUGACUAAAAUUUUGAUGUUGAUAGAUCUAAAGAAGUUUUAUAUUUAUUUAUUUAUUUAUUUUGUUUUGGCCUGAAAAUCAGGAAAUACACUUUGCAGAAACUGAAAUAUAGCAUGUGACCUGAACUGAUAGUGUUUCUCUACAUUAUUGCAAUUUUUCCUCAUAUGCCCUUUCCUCUCUCUUUACAUGGUUAUUUUUCCUUGAGUUUGGUAUUACAGAAUUAUGUGCUGAAGGAAAAGAGUCAUUACAUACUAUUGGCUAUGAUUCUUUUUGUAGAUAAAUAUUUAUGCUUUUUUCUUUUUUGGUUUUUUGGGGGGGCGCAAAAUUUUACCCUUUCUUUCUAUGCAACAUUAAUCAAGCAAAGAUUGGUUUAUGGCAUCAUUCUACAAUAUUUUCUCAUUCAUCACAUAGAAAGGUCACAUUGCAGGAUAUGAUCAUCAUCUUUGGAUCCUUUAUGGAUGUCAAUUGUCAAGACUUCCUGCACAUUAUUGAAAAGGGGAGAGGGUAGAUGGGCAGAAGAGGUUUAUAUACAAAUAAGUUUCUUAGCAAGCUGGAAAAUCUGUAGAAGUUUGAAUUUAGUGAAUUACUGUUGCAAUAGGGUUUAGAAAGCCUGUAUAACUUAUAGAACAAGAGAAGUAAGAUAAUUCCGAAAGAGACACAAACAAGAUACGUCUCUCAGACAAGAUAGGGAAUCUGAAAUAUGCAUUUAUAGUAAAUUAUUGGGUUUUCCCAUUCCCCAGAAGAACAUCUCUAAAAUUGAUAAAGGGCUUUAGUCCUCUGAUGUGCAAGGUUCUGGUUGCUUUUGUAGCAAACAGAAGGAUUGAAUAUUCUAUUGUAAAAGCAGUCCUGUGAUCUCAAUUUUAUCUUCAUUCAGUUUUCAAAUUACAGGGACAUUAACUGAGGAGAAUAAGCCCAUUCUCUUCCCAGUGGCUCUACCCAGAUAAGAUGAGAAAUCAAACUGAUCUCAUGCAAUGAGUGAACAUGGGCAAAGAUUUAGAGAGAACAAUGGACCUCUACUCUACCAAAUCAAAUGCAAAAUUAGUUCCUGAUGUUGCCAUUAAUCUAUGGGUUGUAUGAUGGUCCAGAAAAGUUCAUGAAAAGCUUGAAGCAAGAAACAAAGUGAGGUCGAUGGUCGUCUCAAUGGUCAUCU
This is a long non-coding RNA of Hevea brasiliensis (rubber tree), 3388 nucleotides long. RefSeq lists it as uncharacterized. Lineage: Eukaryota; Viridiplantae; Streptophyta; Magnoliopsida; Malpighiales; Euphorbiaceae. The record is from RefSeq and is a predicted model, not a curated record. The transcript is spliced from 6 exons.